Molecule: ribosomal RNA, 550 nt
Filed under: uncultured Funneliformis
Lineage: Eukaryota; Fungi; Glomeromycota; Glomeromycetes; Glomerales; Glomeraceae
Description: SSU rRNA
Rfam family: Eukaryotic small subunit ribosomal RNA
Source: RNAcentral
UUGGAGGGCAAGUCUGGUGCCAGCAGCCGCGGUAAUUCCAGCUCCAAUAGCGUAUAUUAAAGUUGUUGCAGUUAAAAAGCUCGUAGUUGAAUUUCGGGAUCAAUGUUUCGGUCAUGCCGUUGGUAUGUACUGAUAUUAUUGAUUUCUCACCUUCUAAAGAACCGUAAUGCCAUUAAUUUGGUGUCACGGGGAAUUAGGACUGUUACCUUGAAAAAAUUAGAGUGUUUAAAGCAGGCUCACGCUUGAAUACAUUAGCAUGGAAUAAUGAAAUAGGACAUCCGAUUCUAUUUUGUUGGUUUCUAGGAUCGAUGUAAUGAUUAAUAGGGAUAGUUGGGGGCAUUAGUAUUCAAUUGUCAGAGGUGAAAUCCUUGGAUUUAUUGAAGACUAACUACUGCGAAAGCAUUUGCCAAGGAUGUUUUCAUUAAUCAAGAACGAAAGUUAGGGGAUCGAAGACGAUCAGAUACCGUCGUAGUCUUAACCAUAAACUAUGCCGACUAGGGAUCGGAUGAUGUUAAUUUUUUAAUGACUCAUUCGGCGCCUUACGGGAAAC